Molecule: unclassified non-coding RNA, 298 nt
Filed under: plant metagenome
Description: partial contains 5.8S ribosomal RNA, internal transcribed spacer 2, and large subunit ribosomal RNA
Rfam family: 5.8S ribosomal RNA (bases 1-105)
Source: RNAcentral
GAAAUGCGAUAAGUAAUGUGAAUUGCAGAAUUCAGUGAAUCAUCGAAUCUUUGAACGCACAUUGCGCCCCCUGGUAUUCCGGGGGGCAUGCCUGUUCGAGCGUCAUUUCACCACUCAAGCCUCGCUGGGUAUUGGGCAACGCGGUCCGCCGCGUGCCUCAAAUCGACCGGCUGGGUCUUCUGUCCCCUAAGCGUUGUGGAAACUAUUCGCUAAAGGGUGUUCGGGAGGCUACGCCGUAAAACAACCCCAUUUCUAAGGUUGACCUCGGAUCAGGUAGGGAUACCCGCUGAACUUAAGC